GCCCCUAUGGCUCAACUGGUAGAGCAACUGAUUUGUAAUCAGUAGGUUGGAGGUUCAAGUCCUUCUAGGGGCACCA
RNAcentral lists this transfer RNA (76 nucleotides) under Rickettsiales bacterium. RNAcentral's name for it is "tRNA-Thr". It matches the Rfam family "tRNA". From Rfam's summary of the family: Transfer RNA (tRNA) molecules are approximately 80 nucleotides in length. Their secondary structure includes four short double-helical elements and three loops (D, anti-codon, and T loops). The record is from RNAcentral. Lineage: Bacteria; Pseudomonadati; Pseudomonadota; Alphaproteobacteria; Rickettsiales.